This 321-nucleotide ribosomal RNA is filed under the name uncultured bacterium. Its description in RNAcentral is "bacterial SSU rRNA". It matches the Rfam family "Bacterial small subunit ribosomal RNA", at positions 28 to 334 of the family's 1533-position model. The record is from RNAcentral.
GACGAACGCUGGCGGCGUGCCUAAUACAUGCAAGUCGUACGAAUUGAUUGAAGAGCUUGCUCUUCAUGACGUUAGUGGCGAACGGGUGAGUAACACGUGGGUAACCUGCCCUUCAGCGGGGGAUAACAUCCGGAAACGGGUGCUAAUACCGCAUAGUUUCUUUUCCGCCUGGAAGAAGAAGGAAAGAUGGCCUUUGCGUUAUCACUGAGGGAUGGACCCGCGGCGUAUUAGCUAGUUGGUGGGGUAAUGGCUCACCAAGGCGACGAUGCGUAGCCGACCUGAGAGGGUGAACGGCCACACUGGGACUGAGAUACGGCCCAG